RNAcentral lists this ribosomal RNA (534 nucleotides) under Staphylococcus aureus. RNAcentral's name for it is "bacterial SSU rRNA". It matches the Rfam family "Bacterial small subunit ribosomal RNA", at positions 202 to 724 of the family's 1533-position model. Lineage: Bacteria; Bacillati; Bacillota; Bacilli; Caryophanales; Staphylococcaceae. The record is from RNAcentral.
GAAAGACGGUCUUGCUGUCACUUAUAGAUGGAUCCGCGCUGCAUUAGCUAGUUGGUAAGGUAACGGCUUACCAAGGCAACGAUGCAUAGCCGACCUGAGAGGGUGAUCGGCCACACUGGAACUGAGACACGGUCCAGACUCCUACGGGAGGCAGCAGUAGGGAAUCUUCCGCAAUGGGCGAAAGCCUGACGGAGCAACGCCGCGUGAGUGAUGAAGGUCUUCGGAUCGUAAAACUCUGUUAUUAGGGAAGAACAUAUGUGUAAGUAACUGUGCACAUCUUGACGGUACCUAAUCAGAAAGCCACGGCUAACUACGUGCCAGCAGCCGCGGUAAUACGUAGGUGGCAAGCGUUAUCCGGAAUUAUUGGGCGUAAAGCGCGCGUAGGCGGUUUUUUAAGUCUGAUGUGAAAGCCCACGGCUCAACCGUGGAGGGUCAUUGGAAACUGGAAAACUUGAGUGCAGAAGAGGAAAGUGGAAUUCCAUGUGUAGCGGUGAAAUGCGCAGAGAUAUGGAGGAACACCAGUGGCGAAGGCGA